AUUGAACGCUGGCGGCAUGCUUUACACAUGCAAGUCGAACGGUAACAGGCCGCAAGGUGCUGACGAGUGGCGAACGGGUGAGUAAUGCAUCGGAACGUGCCCAGUCGUGGGGGAUAACUACUCGAAAGAGUAGCUAAUACCGCAUACGAUCUAUGGAUGAAAGCGGGGGACCGUAAGGCCUCGCGCGAUUGGAGCGGCCGAUGUCAGAUUAGGUAGUUGGUGGGGUAAAGGCUCACCAAGCCAACGAUCUGUAGCUGGUCUGAGAGGACGACCAGCCACACUGGGACUGAGACACGGCCCAGACUCCUACGGGAGGCAGCAGUGGGGAAUUUUGGACAAUGGGCGCAAGCCUGAUCCAGCAAUGCCGCGUGCAGGAAGAAGGCCUUCGGGUUGUAAACUGCUUUUGUACGGAACGAAACGGUUCUGGUUAAUACCCGGGGCUAAUGACGGUACCGUAAGAAUAAGCACCGGCUAACUACGUG
RNAcentral lists this ribosomal RNA (482 nucleotides) under uncultured bacterium. RNAcentral describes it as "partial 16S ribosomal RNA". It matches the Rfam family "Bacterial small subunit ribosomal RNA", at positions 30 to 507 of the family's 1533-position model. The record is from RNAcentral.